RNAcentral lists this ribosomal RNA (253 nucleotides) under uncultured bacterium. RNAcentral's name for it is "partial 16S ribosomal RNA". It matches the Rfam family "Bacterial small subunit ribosomal RNA", at positions 524 to 776 of the family's 1533-position model. The record is from RNAcentral.
UACGUAGGGUGCAAGCGUUAUCCGGAAUUAUUGGGCGUAAAGAGCUCGUAGGCGGUUUGUCGCGUCUGCCGUGAAAGUCCGGGGCUCAACUCCGGAUCUGCGGUGGGUACGGGCAGACUAGAGUGCAGUAGGGGAGACUGGAAUUCCUGGUGUAGCGGUGAAAUGCGCAGAUAUCAGGAGGAACACCGAUGGCGAAGGCAGGUCUCUGGGCCAAUACUGACGCUCAUGCACGAAAGCGUGGGGAGCAAACAGG